UGCUUAACACAUGCAAGUCGCACGGGCAGUAGCAAUACUGUCAGUGGCGGACGGGUGAGUAACGCGUAGGAAUCUAUCCUUGAAUGGGGGACAACCGGUGGGAAACUACGGCUAAUACCGCAUGAUGCCUGAGGGCCAAAGACGAAAGUCGUUUGAGGAGGAGCCUGCGUCUGAUUAGGUAGUUGGUGGGGUAAAGGCCUACCAAGCCUACGAUCAGUAGCUGGUCUGAGAGGAUGAUCAGCCACACUGGGACUGAGACACGGCCCAGACUCCUACGGGAGGCAGCAGUGGGGAAUAUUGGACAAUGGGCGCAAGCCUGAUCCAGCAAUGCCGCGUGGGUGAAGAAGGUCUUCGGAUUGUAAAGCCCUUUUGGCAGGGACGAUGAUGACGGUACCUGCAGAAUAAGCUCCGGCUAACUUCGUG
This 423-nucleotide ribosomal RNA is filed under the name uncultured bacterium. Its description in RNAcentral is "bacterial SSU rRNA". It matches the Rfam family "Bacterial small subunit ribosomal RNA", at positions 45 to 507 of the family's 1533-position model. The record is from RNAcentral.